Molecule: long non-coding RNA, 304 nt
Organism: Rhinichthys klamathensis goyatoka
Lineage: Eukaryota; Metazoa; Chordata; Actinopteri; Cypriniformes; Leuciscidae
Exons: 2
Source: RefSeq, a predicted model, not a curated record
GUUAUUCGCGGAAUUAUCAACUUUACUUGAGUUGUACUUCGACACGACACAGCGUGGAUGAACACAAUGUUUGAGGAGAGUGUGCGGCUGUCAGUCACCGUGCCGGUGUGGAUACUGGCAUUCAGAAUCACAGAUUAUUCUUUUUGGAAGUAUGACCAACAUAAUAAUUUUCACUGGAAAAUGUCAUCUGAACAAGUAAGCAAGCAGAUAGUUUUGAACACUGGCUGGUUAUGUAUUUUCUCAAAUAUGUAUUUUGGAUAAUUUUUAACCCCAAAAAAAGCUACGGACUGCAGCUUUAAAUACA